RNAcentral lists this long non-coding RNA (2294 nucleotides) under Nicotiana benthamiana. Its description in RNAcentral is "long non-coding RNA (NBEN_LNC029476)". The record is from RNAcentral. Lineage: Eukaryota; Viridiplantae; Streptophyta; Magnoliopsida; Solanales; Solanaceae.
UUUUCUAUUAACCUUCAAGUUUAUUAAAUUACACCUUAGCCCUACUUUUAGCUAAAAAUACCCUCUCUCCUUUAUUAUUUCCUACAAGUCUCUAGUUCUAUCAUUCUCUCUCUCUUUAUCAUUCUCUCUAUUUUUCCACAAUCAUCUAAGUUUCAAGUACUUAGGCAAACAUUUGGAGCAAGUUUCAAGCAGCUAAACUAAUUCUUCAAGUAUUUAGAGUAAGUAUUUGGACAAAUUCUUCAAGUUUUAAUAUUUAUUUACGGUGCAUUUCCUCCAUCUCUUAUUUUCGUGUUUAAUUUUUAUAUUUAAAUUAUGGCUCCUACAAAGGUAUUAGGCAUACCCAACAUAUUUUUUUUAAAGUAAUAAAUGUGUUAGUUCUAGUAGUAAUCCUAAUCCUUUUGCUAAAACUAGAAAACGCAUAAAUGAUUAUACUCUGGUUGAUGAAACUUCCUUUAGCCUGUCCCCCGACUUUUAUUAUGUUAUUUCAGAGGAGUCACUAAAUAAUGAAGCUUUAGAACGACAAUUUGGCAAUGAUUUGGUAUUAAAUAUUAAUGAGGAAGAAGAAAAUGAAGAAGAUAUAUUAGAUAACAUACCCACUAGUCUAGUUUUAGAAGCUCUAACUCAGACCCAAUUUAGAUCUGGAGCUUUACUCCCUUGUACCUCCUACUAUGGGUAAGGUUACAACAACACGUCGGAGAACAUCACAUGUAUGAAAGUUUUUUAAAUUUUGAUAAUGAUGCAUGUAUUGCUACUUGUUCAAAAUGUAAAUUACCAUUUGCAUAUGGGACAGGUGAGGGGGGAGCGGGGUUGAAAAUUAAACACAAAUUUUUAUAAAUACAAGCUCAAAUAGAUGUUGGAGAGAUACUGGAUCCUAGCGGUACUUUUUGCGCUCCUACUGGUGAUUUACAACGUCCCUAUAAUAAAGAUAGAGAUAGCGAAGGUAUAGCAAAAUGACUGCUAUCUGUGGCUUACUUCUUACUUUCCGUCUCAUCUUGCUUUUGUGUAUUAUAUACAAGAGUCGCAUAAGCCUGAUUUGUCUAUAACCACAGUUAGAGAUGAUAUGUUUAAAUUUUAAAGUGACUAUCUUCAACAUAUAUGUUGUGUUGUCACUUUAAUUGUAAAAUGUCUAUCACUUCUGAUAUAGAUCAUAGUCCUACUGGCAAUGACUAUUUAAUUGUUAUAUGUCAUUUAACUGAUCAUAACUGGAAUAUGCAAAAACAUAUGAUUGGUUAUAAAAUUUAUUGAUUCAGAACACACUGGAGCAUAUAUUUCUGUUACUGUUCUAGACAUUGUUCAAUUUUGUGGUCUUAAUGCUUAUGCUAAUACCAUUACAAAAAUUUAGAAGUUAGAAUUUGUCCACUUUAUGGCUCAAUUUUCCAUGUUAGCUGUGCACGCCAUAUUUUUAAUUUGAUUGUAAAAGACAUAUUUAUUUAUUUGCUACUUCUUGUGCUAAAAUACAAUAUGAUUGUGUCUAUAUUUUGCAUGCUAAUAAAGCGAGUGAGAUUCGUGAAUUUAAAGAGCAGUGUAUCUAUGCUGAUCUUCCAUAUAGAAAAUAACUGUACCUAGUGACCACUGCGACACCAUGACUACAACGGUAAAAUCUGUGCAAUAUCAACAUCUAUAUAUAAAUAUAAAGCUGGGAAUUGGCCAGCUGAUGUAGCAUCCCUAUUUGGGCAGCUUUCAUAUUUAUCUUUUUUUUGGUUUUUUUUUAUUUUAUCUUUUUUCUUAUUUUUCAUGUCAAAACUCUACUUUUCCAGCCAUUUGAACAAAUUCAUUUCACUCAAUCAAUAUGGUAACUGAAUUUUUUACCUCUUAAUUAUAUGGAAGUUGAAAUGGUACAUCAUCUUAAAUAUCUGUUGUAACCGACACCACACCCAUUUUGCUAUUUAAUUCUGACUAUUUAUUUACUUUUCUAUUAAACUCUCAUUACUCCCAUUACAUUUCUCAUCAACCUAUAAGAGGAGCACUCUUUGGUGAAACAAAAUAGUUCUAUGCAUAGAAAUGAUGUACUUGUAUUUUCGCAUUUUUAUAAUUAUGUACUAGUAGGUUUUGCCAUUCUUCCGCAGAUUUGCAGACAUUGCUUUGUAGGUAAAAUACCUCUUGCUAUCAUUUAAUUUUAGUAAAAGCAAGCAUAUCUUACUAUUACAGUACUCUCUAUUCUUUCCUUUCAGCGGCGCAAUAGCAGCACGACACAUAACAUGUCACAAUGAAGUUUUUGAGAAGAAGGCAGUAGGAAAGGUUAUUACAGUUCAAAUUGUAUAGUAACACUUUUUGUAUUUUCUGUUUUUUUUUUU